RNAcentral lists this ribosomal RNA (253 nucleotides) under uncultured bacterium. RNAcentral describes it as "partial 16S ribosomal RNA". It matches the Rfam family "Bacterial small subunit ribosomal RNA", at positions 524 to 776 of the family's 1533-position model. The record is from RNAcentral.
UACAGAGGUCCCAAGCGUUGUUCGGAUUCACUGGGCGUAAAGGGUGCGUAGGUGGUGAGGUAAGUUUGAUGUGAAAUCUCCGGGCUCAACCCGGAAAUGGCAUUGAAUACUAUCUCGCUUGAGAGUCGGAGGGGGGACUGGAAUACUUGGUGUAGCAGUGAAAUGCGUAGAUAUCAAGUGGAACACCAGUGGCGAAGGCGAGUCCCUGGACGACUUCUGACACUGAGGCACGAAAGCUAGGGGAGCAAACAGG